Oryza sativa Japonica Group (Japanese rice) is the source of this 773-nucleotide non-coding RNA. NCBI's taxonomy places the organism in Eukaryota, Viridiplantae, Streptophyta, Magnoliopsida, Poales, Poaceae. The record is from RefSeq and is a predicted model, not a curated record.
GCGCUGAGCCCCAUUAGCCUGGCUACCACACCCGGUGUGCACAUUUCACUGCUUUUGUUGUCUUGGCCAGGAGGUGGCAAGCGAGUGGUAACUUCAUUUGGAUAGUAUGGAGCAUCAAGCUGAAGGAAAAUAGUACAAGCAACAACAGCUCGAGAAAGAACUAUGGCUUAUGGCCAAAUGCUAGAGAACAAAAAGGAGAAGACUACUGUGGCAGCAGCACUCCAACUCUUGCUCAAGACAUGACUAAUGCAUGCCAUUAUUCCUCUUCCUACACAUAGAACCGGAAUGGAUCAACACUCAUCCUGAAUGUUCUUGUAUCUACUCCUGUUUGUGAACUCUUCUAAAAAAUGAAAUGCUAUAAUAAACCUUGAGAAGAAAAUAUUUGGGGAUGAAUCUAGAGCAAGUGGGCGAUGACUGGAUGAGCCAAAUGGUGGAGUUGGAGACUGGGGAGGAGGGGGUCCGGGAGAAAAAGAGAGGGGCUUUUGGGUGGCAAUCGGAGAGGAAGAGACAUCUCAAGCUGCUUUUGUUUCUUUUUUUUUUAUGUGUAUGUCAUGGGUAGCUGGCUGGCUGGCUGUGCCAGGUUUUCUCGGCUUUCUUUGCUGAUCUCUCCUUUUUUGUUUGCUUCCUUGGCCGUCUAGCUGUACUUUUAGGGUUCUUCUUGGAGUUUGCACUUUGGAGUUUGGACUGGUCUAAUCGGAAGUGAUUAGUAUUAGUACUCCUGUAAAAAAAAGAUAAUGUAAAUUUUAGAGACGAACCUAGAUAAUUUAUCUUUA